RNAcentral lists this unclassified non-coding RNA (253 nucleotides) under uncultured Oligoflexaceae bacterium. Its description in RNAcentral is "contains 16S-23S intergenic spacer region". It matches the Rfam family "Bacterial small subunit ribosomal RNA", at positions 524 to 776 of the family's 1533-position model. The record is from RNAcentral. Lineage: Bacteria; Pseudomonadati; Bdellovibrionota; Oligoflexia; Oligoflexales; Oligoflexaceae.
UACGGAAGGUGCAAGCGUUGUUCGGAAUGACUGGGCGUAAAGCGCACGUAGGCGGCCCCGUAAGUCGGGUGUGAAAGCCCCGGGCUCAACCUGGGAAUAGCACCCGAAACUACGAGGCUUGAAUGCUUGAGAGGUUGGUGGAAUUCCAGGUGUAGGAGUGAAAUCCGUAGAUAUCUGGAGGAACACCGGAGGCGAAGGCGGCCAACUGGCGAUGCAUUGACGCUGAGGUGCGAAAGCGUGGGGAGCAAACAGG